UUUUUCUCAAUGGGGGAAACCCUGAAGGAGCGACGCCGCGUGGGGGAUGAAGGACUUCGGUUUGUAAACCCCUGUCACUUGGGAACAAAAGUUUCAACCUAAUACGUUGAAACCUGAUAGUACCAGGAGAGGAAGGCACGGCUAACUCUGUGCCAGCAGCCGCGGUAAUACAGAGGAGCCAAGCGUUGUUCGGAUUUAUUGGGCGUAAAGGGUGCGUAGGCGGUCAUACAAGUCGGAUGUGAAAGCCCGGAGCCUAACUCCGGAACGGCAUUCGAAACUGUAUGGCUGGAGAUCUGGAGAGGUGAUCGGAAUUCUCGGUGGAGCAGUGAAAUGCGUAGAUAUCGAGAGGAACACCAGAGGCGAAGGCGGGUCACUAGACAGAAUCUGACGCUGAGGCACGAAG
This 403-nucleotide ribosomal RNA is filed under the name uncultured bacterium. Its description in RNAcentral is "bacterial SSU rRNA". It matches the Rfam family "Bacterial small subunit ribosomal RNA", at positions 362 to 758 of the family's 1533-position model. The record is from RNAcentral.